AAACACCAUGCGGAGGAACAGGAGACUAAAGAAGAAAAAAGCAGAAGCAGACACCGUAAUGAAGUCCUUUGUUUCCUCUGCUUUGUGGGCACCUCUGUCGCUUGCAAAACACCUGUCACUAUAGGCAGAGGGCGCUAUCUGCUUCAGACUCCUCUCGUUAGACGUCAG
Molecule: non-coding RNA, 168 nt
Organism: Labrus bergylta (ballan wrasse)
Lineage: Eukaryota; Metazoa; Chordata; Actinopteri; Labriformes; Labridae
Source: RefSeq, a predicted model, not a curated record